CGAGCUAGCCAGGAGGAAGAGAUAAGCCCAAAGUCUGGGAUUUAUUCUUCUCCUUUCUCCUUUUCCUUUCUGCUCCAAACAGGCGAAUCUCUUUCUCUCUCUUUUCCUUUCCAACCUGGGACCCUUGGUGGGCAGCACCUAAACAUGGAAGCAACUGCAGGUUUCUGGCCAUGGUCAGUGAAACUAAGGGGUUUCCACAGGCAAAGCCCAACCACCACUGCCCAAUUUGCUUAAGGAAUCUGGGUCUUUUUCAUUUUUUUACUCUUCUUUUUUUUUUUUUUUUUCCGUCUUUCAAUGGCUGUUUCCUAGUAGCUCCUUGGAAACUGAGGACAAUUGGCUGAGGUCACUCCCCAGUGUUGCCUGAAGGCCUAGGAACAAAUGGGAAUAAUUGCCCUACCCAGAAGGGGAAAGGACUUUUUAAAAAUCUUUUCCACACCUGGUCCCUGAUUCCUAUGUGUGGUGCAGUUUGGAGCAAACUACCUGUUUCAGGUGACUCAAACUUUCUUUUCUUAUGCUAAAUUCUUCACUUCCCCUAUUCAACUGGCUAAGGGCAAAGGAAACCCACCAAGCCUCCAGUUCCUGUCAUUAAAGUUUAUGGAAUGGGAUAAGUUAUGGAAUGGGAUUUGAUAAGCGUGGCCUUAUCAAAUUAUAAGGAUGCUAAAAGUCGAGUUUUACACCCAGGAAACAGCUCACAGUAGGCUCUGGAGGGAAUGCAUGCAAAGUGGCACCGGUGCCCACCUAAGGCCAAGAGACAUCUGGAACUCUUAAGAUUGAACCCCACAGGAGGACACUCGGAGGGGAUCAUCCGGAACUCAAACUUUCCAAAGAAGAUGCUCUCUGCAGAGGUGAGAGACCAUCGAGCUUCAGAUGAUCACUCAACAAAGGCUCCAGCAAGUUCCAGGUGAAGACACCACCCCUGGCCAUCAAGGAGCUACCCUGCCUCCACUAGACACAGCAGGAAGCCAUUGGCUGCUCUUUGCAAGGAAUCCUUAGACAGACCUCUGGGAGGAAUCUGACUACUGUUUUCCCCAAAACAAUACGCCAUCAGCAGGAAGCGGCUAAGACCAGUCAUCAUCCAUAUUUUAAAGGCAGUUACACGUACUUCUUCAGAGGGGGAAAAUGAUAUGGAAGGGAGGAAGGGAAUUGCUGGGAAGGGAAGGGCAUGGUCCCUUUAA
Molecule: long non-coding RNA, 1175 nt
Filed under: Homo sapiens (human)
Lineage: Eukaryota; Metazoa; Chordata; Mammalia; Primates; Hominidae
Description: HSALNT0364535
Source: RNAcentral